Non-coding RNA from Callithrix jacchus (white-tufted-ear marmoset), 154 nucleotides. NCBI's taxonomy places the organism in Eukaryota, Metazoa, Chordata, Mammalia, Primates, Cebidae. The record is from Rfam.
AAAAUGGCAGAAUGAAAGAAUUAUGAGUGGGACUAGAGAAUGGGAAAGACAUGAACCAACACCUCAAAUGAGAAAGAAGGAUGUAUAGCUAAGACAAAUACACGUGAAAAAAAUAGACUAAUGGAUUAACGUCUCUGUUGUGUGACAUUAUCUG